ACGUUCUUGGAAAACAUUGUUAUGAUCAAUACUCUACUUUCAAGCCGUAUUUAAUUUCUGGAUCCAUUGGCAUUCUUGGAUUCUAUAUCAGAUCAUUGGGUUCAUUAAUCUACAAUUUAUUCUUCCGGAUAUAUCCUAUUGAUCCUCAAGAGAUUGAAGAUGAAUGGGAGAAAAAGAAGGAAAUAAAGGGAAGACCUUUUCGAAAUUAUUCACUAUUUUAUCGAUUUUCAUCGACAAUCGCCCAGGGUGGAUUAAUAUAUGCAGUUUUCAAUUAUCAUAAAUGUCAGAUUUUCGGAACUUUUGUCUUGUCGUUGACAAUUAUUGAAGUUAUUUGUGCUCUAGAAGCUAGAAAGUAUAAUCAACGAUUUAGUCAAGGAAAUACGAAUGAAGAAAGUUUCUUUGGAAGUUAUGCCAAAGAAUUUGACAGUUCUCUCGACUAUUAUUGGAUUUUCAUUGGAGGAUAUUUUGG
Long non-coding RNA from Leptopilina heterotoma, 469 nucleotides. RefSeq lists it as uncharacterized. The transcript is spliced from 3 exons. NCBI's taxonomy places the organism in Eukaryota, Metazoa, Arthropoda, Insecta, Hymenoptera, Figitidae. The record is from RefSeq and is a predicted model, not a curated record.